Molecule: ribosomal RNA, 468 nt
Filed under: uncultured bacterium
Lineage: Bacteria
Description: partial 16S ribosomal RNA
Rfam family: Bacterial small subunit ribosomal RNA
Source: RNAcentral
GACGAACGCUGGCGGCGUGCUUAACACAUGCAAGUCGAACGGAAAGGCCCUGCUUUUGUGGGGCGCUCGAGUGGCGAACGGGUGAGUAACAUGUGUGUAACCUGCCCUUGACUUUGGGAUAACUUCAGGAAACUGGGGCUAAUACCGGAUAGGAGCCCCUGCCGCAUGGUGGGGGUUGGAAAGUUUCGGCGGUUGGGGAUGGACUCGCGGCUUAUCAGCUUGUUGGUGGGGUAGUGGCUUACCAAGGCUUUGACGGGUAGCCGGCCUGAGAGGGUGACCGGCCACAUUGGGACUGAGAUACGGCCCAGACUCCUACGGGAGGCAGCAGUGGGGAAUAUUGCACAAUGGGCGGAAGCCUGAUGCAGCAACGCCGCGUGCGGGAUGACGGCCUUCGGGUUGUAAACCGCUUUCGCCUGUGACGAAGCGUGAGUGACGGGAAUGGGUAAAGAAGCACCGGCUAACUACGUG